Long non-coding RNA from Equus caballus (horse), 1876 nucleotides. NCBI's taxonomy places the organism in Eukaryota, Metazoa, Chordata, Mammalia, Perissodactyla, Equidae. The record is from Ensembl.
CCCUGAUCUAUGCUAACCUCCUACAGCGUAUAGGAACCCCCUCCCCACAGCACAUAUCAGUGGUCCUCAGACUCGUCGCUCCAGUGACAAUGCAGCCCGUUCCAUUUUCAGAAGUUCUACUAGAAAUUUUUUCUGUUCACCUUUGUUACCUCACAUCUGGAUUUUUGUUGACCUGCCACUCACUUUGAUUUCCACAGAAUCUCAUGGGGAUAUCUGUUUUCGUUCUGUUUCUAGUCUCACAUACCUUUUAUCACAGAAGCUCCUCUUCUUUUUGAUCUGGUUAGGCUCUGCAAAAUGAACAACCCUGAAACUUAAAGGCUUAAAACAAGAGAAAUUGAUUAUAUCUUAUGAUUCUGCGGGUUGACUGGGUGGUUUUCCUGAUGGUCUCACCUGGGUGACCGCAUUCAAUUGGCUGAUGGGCUGGGGGCAUCAGCUAGGGUGCCUUGGUGCGCUCCACAUGGUCUUUCCACAUUGCUGGCUUGGGCUGCUUCACAGCAUGUUGAUCUCAGUGAAGCUGGAAUUUUUACUUGGCAGCUGGCUUCCAAGAGGGAGAAAGCAGAAGCUCAGACAUCUCAGAAUCUCACUCCUGUUGCAUGCUGACAGGGACAGAGGUCAAAGCAAGUGGAGUAAGUUACAAGGCCAGGCCAGAUUUGAGAGGAAAGGAAAUAGACUCCACCUCUUAGUGGAAGAAGCAGCAAGUGCAAGCAGUGAAGAAGGGAACUGAUGGGGGCCAUAUUUGUGCAUAACCAACCACAUCCCCAAAAGCUAUUAAUAAGACAUUGACCCCCAUAGGCUCUAAAGGCUAAGAGAGGUUUAUACCUGUGGUCCUCAAUGCAUUUUCAUCCAACAGGAGAAGGAAUUAUUCUUCUAAGAGCUUUAAAAUCACAUAGGAUCGGGCAAACCUUUAUGCUUUGGGGGUCUCCACCUGGGACCGAGAAUUAAAUAGACAUAAGACAGAUGAACAGGAGAAAAGCAUACAAAUUUUAUUUUUACAUGUACUUGGAAGACUCUACAAGAAAAUGAAAAUGCAAAGAAGUGGCAAAAGGUAAACGCUUUUAUACUAAGUUGAACAAAGAGAGGCAAUUGUGGAAAAGUAACUACAUGUAUAUAUAAACAUAUUUAUAUGGGGAGGCUAAAGGCAGGUUUGAAUUAUUUUCACAAGAUCUGUUUUACAGAAUUCUUUCGGCCUCGACUCCUUGCCUCUGGUGAUAAGAAUAUUUCUUUCCCCCGAUAUAGAGAGGACAUCUUUCACAGAGGAGUUCCAGCUCCUGUUUUCAGGAAGGAAAUGGGAGGUCAGAGCAUCUAUCUUGCACCUGCUGUUUUUCAAGCAUCUUUAGCUCAAAAUAAUCCUUAUGGCUCGUGGCAUAUUUUGGGGUGGCAUAUCUGCCACCCUUCACUAGUAUAACUUCUACUCGGUACCUAUUUCCAAAGAGGAUCAGUUUCAACUAUAAGGAAAAUCUGUUGGGCAGAAAGAAGAUUCCAUAUUAUUUACAGCAGAUAACUUCUAGAUUAAAUUUCAAUGUAAAGACCUUUUCCCUAAUUAUUAUCUACCUCUUUUGAUGCUACAAUGUAAGCUCAUUCUCUCUCCUCAUUUUGAUUGUAACUAGGUCUGUAUUCACUCUAAAAGAGCCUCUCCUCAGCACCACAUAUUUCUGCUUUAACAAUCACUGCUGUGAGCUCAUCUCCCCUGGGAGACUUUGCCCUUUCUUCCUUGGGGUCCCCAUUGGGCCUGCAACAUAUUUCUGUCACACCAGAAUGCCGCAUUAGUGAAUGUAUUUGUUACAUGUCUGCCUCCUCUUACUAGCUUGGACAUGCCAUUGAGGGCCGCCAUUUUUGAAUCCCUAGCAGCACCUACCUCAGUGCCUUAAUAAAUGCC